CACGCCCUAAACGAUGUCAACUAGGUGUUGGGAGGGUAAAACCUUUUAGUACCGUAGCUAACGCGAGAAGUUGACCGCCUGGGGAGUACGGCCGCAAGGUUAAAACUCAAAGGAAUUGACGGGGACCCGCACAAGCGGUGGAUGAUGUGGAUUAAUUCGAUGCAACGCGAAAAACCUUACCCACCUUUGACAUGUACGGAAUCCUUUAGAGAUAGAGGAGUGCUCGAAAGAGAGCCGUAACACAGGUGC
This 249-nucleotide ribosomal RNA is filed under the name uncultured bacterium. Its description in RNAcentral is "partial 16S ribosomal RNA". It matches the Rfam family "Bacterial small subunit ribosomal RNA", at positions 796 to 1041 of the family's 1533-position model. The record is from RNAcentral.